Molecule: ribosomal RNA, 125 nt
Filed under: Paenibacillus soyae
Lineage: Bacteria; Bacillati; Bacillota; Bacilli; Caryophanales; Paenibacillaceae
Description: partial 16S ribosomal RNA
Rfam family: Bacterial small subunit ribosomal RNA
Source: RNAcentral
UUUAUGGAGAGUUUGAUCCUGGCUCAGGACGAACGCUGGCGGCGUGCCUAAUACAUGCAAGUCGAGCGGAUCUUACCCUUCGGGGUAAGGUUAGCGGCGGACGGGUGAGUAACACGUAGGUAACC